AAUCUCCACAACGGAUAUCUAAGCUCUCACAUUGAUGAAGAAUGUAGCGAAAUGUGAUACUUGGUGUGAAUUGCCGAAUCCCGUGAACCAUCGAGUCUUUGAACACAAGUUGUGACCCAAGCCAUUAGGCUAAGAGCACAUUUGCCUGGGUGUCAUGCACCGUCACCCCCCUCUGACCCUCAGCCCAUUGGGCUCCGAGGGAAGGGGGUAGGUUAAAGAUGGCAUCCCACGAUCUCGUCAGUCACGAUUGGCCCAAAAAUGAGUCCUUGACAGCGAUAGUGUUGUGGCCGUCGGUGGUAGAGCUCUUAGCAUGCCUCGUCCCUGGAGACGCAUGCUCGUUGUCCACUCGGACCCCCCGCAUCGCUUGAUCGAUGCUCGUGUCAUAACCUCAGGUCAGGUGGGAUCACCCAUUGAGUUUAAGCAUAUCAAUAACCGAAGGAAAAAAAACUUACCAGGAUUCUCUUAGUAACAACGAGUGAACCGAAAAGAGCCCAGCUUAAGAAUCGAGCACCCCUGGCAUCCGUAUUGUAGUCUGGAGAAGCAUCCUCAUUAGUGGACCGAGCCCAAGUCACCUGGAAAGAGGUGUCAAAGAGGGUGAGAGCCCUGUUGUGCCUGGACCCUAUCGUACCAUGAAGCAUUGUCUGCGAGUCAGGUUUUUUGGGAAUGCAGCCCCAAUCAAGUGGUAGAUUUCAUCCAAGGCUAAAUAUGGAGAGAGAUCGAUUGCAAACAAGUAUCGUGAGGGAAAGAUGAAAAGGACUUUGAAAAGAGAGUCAAAGAGUGCUUGAAAUUGUCGGGAGGGAAACAGAUGGAGGUCGACGAUGCACCCCAGUCGGAUGUGGAACGGCAAGAACUGGUCCGCUGAUCGGCUAGGGUCGUGGACCGACAUAGGUAGCGACAGUGACCUAAGCUCGAGCUUUUGAUGUGCUCGUAGGGACUUCAUUACCGUGAUCAUGGAAAGUAUCAAGCACCGUCUCGAUGUGCCACGGCACCAGCGUGCUCCCGGUGUCAGCCUGCAAGCUCACCAUCCGACCCAUCUUGAAACACAAACCAAAGAGUCUGACAUGCAUGUGAGUCAACGAGCCAGAAAACCCGAUAAGGUGCAAGGAAGCUGAUUGCAGGAUCUCUCACGGGUGUACCACCGAUCAACCUUGAUCUUCUGAAAAGGGUUCAAGUGCGAGAAUGCCCGUCGGGACCCGAAAGAUGGUGAACUAUGCCUGAGUGGGGUGAAGCCAAAGAAAACUCUGGUGGAGGCCCACAGUGAUACUGACAUGCAAAUCGUUCAUCUGACUUGGGUAUAAGGGUGAAAGACUAAUCGAACCAUCUAGUAGCUAGUUCCCUCUGAAGUUUCCCUUAGGAUAGUUAAAGCCCCUGAUGAGUUCUAUCUGGUAAAGCCAAUGAUUAGAGGCAUUGGGAGCGUAAUGCCCUCGACCUAUUCUCAAACUUUAAAUAGGUAGGAUGACGCAGCUGCUUCAUUGAGCGGUGCCAUGGAAUCAAGAGCUCCAAGUGAGCCAUUUUUGGUAAGUAGAACUAGCGAUGCAAGAUGAACUAAAAGUCAGGUUACGGUGCCCAACUGCACACUAAUCCAGAACCCACAAAGGGUGUUGGUCGAUUAAGACAACAGGACGGUGGUCAUGGAAGUCAAAAUCCACUAAAGAGUGUGUAACAACUCACUUGCCAAAUCAACUAGCCCCGAAAAUGGAUGGCGCUUAAGCGCACGACCUAUACCUGAUCGUCAAGGCAAGGGCCAAGCCCCGAUGAGUAGGACGGCGUGGUGGUCAUCGUAAAACCCAGGGCGCAAGCCCAGGAGAAGCGACUGUCAGUGUAGAUCUUGGUGGUAGUAGCAAAUAUUCUAAUGAAAACUUUGAAGGUCGUAGAAGGGAAAGGUUCCAUGUGAACGGCACUUACACAUGGGUUAGUCGAUCCUAAGAGACGGGGGAAGCCCGUCCGAUAGUGCGUCUCAUGCGAGCUUUAAAAAGAAAUCAGGUUAAAAUUCUUAAAUUGAGACGCGACGACUGAAGGCAACGUUAGGGAGUCUGGAGACGUCUGUAGGGGCCUCAGAAAGAGUUAUCUUUUUUGUUUAAUGGCCCACCCACCCUAGAAAUGGCUCAGUCGGAGGUACUUGCCUCGAGCACCAUCGACAUAUGCAUGCCUCGAUGAGCAUCGGUAGAAGAUGGCCCUUGGUGCAGGCGGUUGCCUCGAGCACCAUCGACACGUGUUAGGCCUUGGUGCGGGCACAUGCCUCGACCACCAUCGUCACAAGCUGGCCAUUGGUACAGGCACUUGCCUGGACCACCAUUGGAAUAUGCCAUGCCUUGAUAAGCAUCGAUAGAAGAUGGUCCCUGCUACGUGCGGUUGCCUCGAACACCAUCGACACAUGCUGGGCCUUAGUACGGGCAGAUGCCUUGACCACCAUCGAUGCAUGCAUGCCUCAAUCAGCAUGCACACAAGCUGGAAUCGAUGCGAGCACCUGCCUCGAUCAGCAUCGAUAGAAGAUGGCCCUUGGUGCAGGUAGUCCCAUCGAACACCAUCGGCACGCGCUAGCCCUUGGUGUGGGCACAUGUCUCGACCACCAUCGGCACCUACUCACUCUCAGUGCGGGAUAUGCUUGUGUUGGAAAAAGUGUCCCCAUUUCAGAUACUUUAACAUCUACUAGUAGCAUAUCUAUAAAAUCUCUAAUGCUCUUUAUGGGGUGGUGGUCCGGCACCCCCUCCCCCUCACGGGGGAGUAGGUGUGCAUGAUGGGCCUCCUAUUGCGUACACCCAAGGUAACGUCCCUAGAGUGAAAUACAAGGCAUGCAUGCUUUCUGGCUAUUUUGUACGAUGACCGGUUGCUUCGGUGACCAGCAGACGCCCAUGGCCUUAACUGUUGGCGUGUAUACGAAAAAGGGAAGUCGAGCUCGAGCCCGUGCAUGUGGCGGAUGCUACCCUAGACCAUAGACCAAGUCCUUAAAUUGGGCAAUGGCUCCCUGGGGUGGUGUGAGUAGAAGCUGCAAUUGUGGGCUUGGCUCAGCCAAGUCUCUUGGUAUUUGACGGUCUCACGAUGCCUUCUUGUCAACCACAAAAAUGCCUUGGCCUUGACGAGGCCAUGCAUGCAACCAAUGCUACCCAAGACCCUAGGAACAAGUCUCUGAAUCAGGCAACGUCCCCCUGGGGUGGUGUCAACGGAGCUCAUGCAUGCAAUCCCGGCCAGGCCAAGCAUUGGUGGUAUCAUGCCGUUGUUACCGAUCGGAUGGCAAGGGCAGUCUCAUGGCCCUUGCUUGUGUUUUUCUCAUGCCAAGUAGUUGUGGCAUGGCCUCGCACAUCGUUUCUUUUGCUCAUACAUUGAGUAAUCGAUCGGGUGGGUUGUGGAUCAACGCGUAUGGAUGUUACCACUUGUAUGCAUGGCGUAUGAGUGG
This 3394-nucleotide ribosomal RNA is filed under the name Durio zibethinus. RNAcentral's name for it is "eukaryotic LSU rRNA". The stretch from base 407 to 2241 matches the Rfam family "Eukaryotic large subunit ribosomal RNA", at positions 24 to 1888 of the family's 3401-position model. The record is from RNAcentral. Lineage: Eukaryota; Viridiplantae; Streptophyta; Magnoliopsida; Malvales; Malvaceae.